This 213-nucleotide ribosomal RNA is filed under the name Ostreococcus mediterraneus. Its description in RNAcentral is "partial Eukaryotic small subunit ribosomal RNA". It matches the Rfam family "Eukaryotic small subunit ribosomal RNA", at positions 773 to 985 of the family's 1831-position model. The record is from RNAcentral. Lineage: Eukaryota; Viridiplantae; Chlorophyta; Mamiellophyceae; Mamiellales; Bathycoccaceae.
GUUUCAAGCAGGCAGCUCGCUCUUGCAUGGAUUAGCAUGGGAUAAUGAAAUAGGACUUUGGUGCUAUUUUGUUGGUUUCGAACACCGAAGUAAUGAUUAACAGGGACAGUCAGGGGCACUCGUAUUCCGCAGAGAGAGGUGAAAUUCUCAGACCCGCGGAAGACGAACCACUGCGAAAGCAUUUGCCAGGGAUGUUUUCAUUGAUCAAGAACG